RNAcentral lists this ribosomal RNA (519 nucleotides) under uncultured marine eukaryote. Its description in RNAcentral is "SSU rRNA". It matches the Rfam family "Eukaryotic small subunit ribosomal RNA", at positions 675 to 1197 of the family's 1831-position model. The record is from RNAcentral.
UGCACUGGAGUCGGUUCCGUCCAUCCUCUUGGAAAGUGCGGGGGGCAUUAAGUUGUCUGGCGUAUGAUCCAAGUCGUUUACUGUGAAAAAAUUAGAGUGUUUAAAGCAGGCCUUCGCCUUGAAUACAUUAGCAUGGAAUAAUAAGAUAGGACUUUGGUCUAUUUUGUUGGUUUGCAGACCGAAGUAAUGAUUAAUAGGGAUAGUUGGGGGUAUUUAUAUUCCGAUGUCAGAGGUGAAAUUCUUAGAUUUUCGGAAGAUAAACUUAUGCGAAAGCAUUUACCAAGGAUGUUUUCAUUAAUCAAGAACGAAAGUUAGGGGAUCGAAGAUGAUUAGAUACCAUCGUAGUCUUAACCAUAAACUAUGCCGACUCAGGAUUGGUGAACGUUGAUUUAAUGACUUCAUCAGCACUGUAUGAGAAAUCAAAGUCUUUGGGUUCCGGGGGGAGUAUGGUCGCAAGGCUGAAACUUAAAGGAAUUGACGGAAGGGCACCACCAGGAGUGGAGCCUGCGGCUUAAUUUG